This 361-nucleotide ribosomal RNA is filed under the name uncultured fungus. RNAcentral's name for it is "eukaryotic LSU rRNA". The stretch from base 1 to 122 matches the Rfam family "5.8S ribosomal RNA", at positions 33 to 154 of the family's 154-position model. The record is from RNAcentral. Lineage: Eukaryota; Fungi.
UCGAUGAAGAACGCAGCGAAAUGCGAUAAGUAAUGUGAAUUGCAGAAUUCAGUGAAUCAUCGAAUCUUUGAACGCACCUUGCGCUCCAUGGUAUUCCAUGGAGCAUGCCUGUUUGAGUGUCACGUGAAACUAUCACUCUUGUCCUGUCGCAAGACAAGUCAGGAUGUGGACUUGGACUGUGCCGUAGUUGGCUCGUCUUGAAAUGCAUUAGCCGUGCUGGUUAGAUUCGGCCACCUGGUGUGAUAUAUGUCUACGCCUACCGUGCUGUUUCUUCCUGAGUGUGGCUUAUAAUCGUCGCUUGUUCGACAAUACAAAUUAACGCUCUGGCCUCAAAUCAGGUAGGACUACCCGCUGAACUUAA